This is a long non-coding RNA of Siniperca chuatsi (mandarin fish), 3842 nucleotides long. RefSeq lists it as uncharacterized. The transcript is spliced from 2 exons. The record is from RefSeq and is a predicted model, not a curated record. Lineage: Eukaryota; Metazoa; Chordata; Actinopteri; Centrarchiformes; Sinipercidae.
AGAUGAAAUGUCAGUUUCAGUCACUGCUGGUUAUACUCCAAUGAAACUCCCUACUACAAUCUUUGAAAAACAAAUGGGAGGCCGGGGUGUAACAACAAAUGAAUUUGUCGUGCUCCACGGAGGAGCAGGGGGCGGAGUUACCGCAUAUCGUAGUACCCACAGAGGGGACGAGCUGGGCCCGGUCCAACCUCUCCAACACCCGGCCGCGCGUGGGAGCCAACAGUCCUAAUGCUGUAGUAACUCCUACUCAGUCACACAGGACACUUACUUGUACAUUUCUGUUUGGUUCAUGCAGCUGAUACAAUAUAGACUGACAUCUCCAGACCAAUUCGCAAAUGCGAAUCAUCUGCCAGAGCAAAUAAAACAUGACAUAAAACAGAUUCGUCUGGUUGCCAGUACAUGCAGUAGUGGGUUACUGGGAAAACUACAUCAGUCAGUCUACCUAACGAUCAUACUGGCCAAACAAUCUAAAUUAUUAAUAGCCAGCCUACAUUUGUUUUUAUUACUGUGCAACUUUAAAGCAAUUCUCUAGAAAGAAAUGUCCUUGUAUGGACAGCAGGGUUACUCAGUAUAAUGUAUGGAAGCAAAGUAAGGCCAUAAUACUUUAAAUUGAAACUGAAUACAUAAUACAAAAACAGAAUAAAUGUUCAACUAAACAUUUUCAUAAUCUUGAUUUUUGGUGUCUGAAUUUCCUCAAUCCAAUUGGAGCAACUUAAUUUUCUGACCUGACUUGAAUUUUUAGAUCCAAAAAAGACCAACUGAAUUUGAGCAACUCGAAUAUUGUUUUUGGAAUAUACUGGACUUAAAAUUUCUAUCUGAAUUUGUGAACACACACACACACACACACACACAAAAUCAAGUUUUUGAAAUUCUUGAAAAAGUACAAUAUGUCAUUGUAGUUACAUUUCACAAUUAGGCAUUCAGUUGCUCAUAAGAAUCAAAUCCUUUCUUUGUGUCUAUAAUAAUGUUGCUACACCUCUAUUUUUAUUUGUCUCACAUGAUAUUGCUGCAACUACUUUUGAAUAUCAACUUAAAGGGGUACUCAGGCAAUUUAGCAGUAGUCUACAAUUCUACAAAGUUAGAAAACUUGCGACAGACAGAUUUAAAAAAGAAUAGUCAAAAUUGAUGCAGCAGAGGCCGAGACAUCCUGACCCUAGUAUGGGUCAAGCUCAAAAAAUGCUGAAUCCUACAGUUCCCACAAUGCAUUUCGAUAGCGUCUUUAAUUAGAACUUCCCACCCUAUAAAUGUCCACGUCUUUCAAACUCCAGAGCCCAAACUGGUAACACAGCCUUUCUGUAAAACUUGACUCAAGUCUAAAUCCCAGUCCAACGUAACCCUUCCGACAUCAUCAGGAUUAUUUUCUCAGACUUUAGAAAGCUCCUCCAGAACCACAGAAGAUAUUUUACUGUGUUUGCAGCCUAAAAAGUACUAACCAUGACUAGUAAACGAACCUGUGAUCAUGUGUAAAAAUCAGUGGAGUGCCCAUUUAAUACCUGCUAUAAUGUAGCACUGAAAUGUGUAAUUUCUAUGUAUUUUUAUUUGCUUUAGCAGGAUCCCAGUGUCAUCUUACAUUGAAUGGUGAUAUUAGCUUAAUUCAAGUACUUUCACAGUGUACUAAGUUUUUGACUGGAGUGCCUCCAGUACAUUUCUUAUGAAAGUGGUAAUGCAUGUUAUUAAUGCCAGGCACAAAGCAGUGUUUUCCAAAAUGCACUUCUUUAGUGGGCUUGAAAAUCAGCUGGUUUACCGCAGGAUCAAGUCAGAUAAACACAAUACACGUUGAGUAUUUAAUUUCUUAUUAAUACAACUUACAGGUCAAAUGAAUUUACCAACCAACAAAACCAUGUUGUUUAAAAUCAUUAUUCAAUAAAACAUGUUGACAGAUUAUCACACAAAUAUACUUAACAAACAGCUUAGUCAUUAUAUAUUGAUUAUCGUGCCUUCACAGCAGAAAUCAACUGAUUAAAAGUCAUACAAAUACAGAAAAUGAAAUGCUAUGAGCCUUGUGAGAGAACAUUCUCCAUUACUUAGAUUAGGAGAUGACAACUUCCUCAAGCACAUAAUUAUCCCACAAAUCAUCUUUACAGUUCAGUGAUGCUUUAGAUUUAAGCUCUCCUUUUCAUCAUAGUGUCAUUACAUUCACACAAAUCUCUUUAUUUGAGUAGUUCUGUUGCUACUUUUACUCACCAGCCUCAGUGUCUACCAUAUAGACUGCUGGAUUUGGUUGAGAAAAAGAAACUACCAAAGGCUGAGAUAAAUCAAGAGCAAAAGUCCACCAAUUCUAUGAAAUAUUAUAAACUUCUGCUUGCUAAGUUUUUCUGACCCUGUAACAACAAAAACAGGGAAGCAAUAAUUUAGGGGGGAAAAGGAUCCAGUUUGCACAUAUUCCAAUCAUUUUUUAAUCAGAAUAAUUCACUCAGCAGGAUAUGAACAAUGUAUUUAUUGAAAGUUUGUGGUUUCCAACCAGAUGUUGGCUGGGGUUUUGACCGUUCUUCAUAAUAUAUAAACCCCACACAGCAGGGAGGGACUAUACUUAUUCAUAUAUACAGUGUAUAUGUGGCCUCAUUAAACACUGUCAGAAAUUCAUACUACCUGUCCUCACAGGUGCUUUUUACACACUUGACAUACUUAAUUAUCUGCAGAAAACUUUCUGUCCCACAAACACAUUUAAAAGCAUGUGGAUGCACAGAAUAGAGUAAUCAUUCAUUCUAAUGAUCGAACGCACCGCUUAGAGCGCCGCCAUACAUGAUGAAAAAUCAUGUGAUAUAAUUUUCUCAGAAAUUGAAGAAUUUAGAACAAAUCACCCCAAAGUGGUUAAUUGAAUCUCCAGCAAAUCUUUGAAAGCCCCCACAUCAUUGCACUGUCUCACAUACAUUGUCUCUUGAUGGGCCUCUUUGCUCUCUAUUGAGGUCAGCUUCUAUAAGUGGAGUACAGUUAAGUAUAUAACCUUCACACUAUCUGUAAAGUGGAUCAUUACUAUGACCAUGUUAUUCAUUAUACAGCAGGAGAUGUGACAGGUGGACUGAGAAUAAAGACAGAUUGUUUUACCUUUGCAAUUGAAAUACAACAACUAGAAGAUUUUUCCCUCUUGUAAAAACUUGUUAGCAUUGGAGACCAUUGUGACUGACGUGAAUUUCAGGAGGGGACAGGCCACUGUUCUCUACAAAAGGACGAUACUACCAACAUAAAACCUUUCUAGCCUACAGAGGGUAGAGUAUUUGAGACUAAAAGCAUACAUUUUAGGUGAAGUAUCAACUUAAGGCUGUGAGGAACAGUUUGAUACAAUGUAGGUAAAUUAAAAGUCUUAAUGCUUUAAAGCACAGCUGAACUUUAUGUAUAUGCAGAGGUUUUAUCUACUGACAUUUUCCAAACAGUGCCGUCACUGUGUUUUACAGGGAAAUAUUUUUAGAUCAUCAUGUAAUGUUUCCGUUGGACCUCUGCUUUAAUUUGCUAGGCUGCUUAUGCAAACUACAUUAUGACUGUCGUUUAAGUCAGUCAUAUUACACCAUAAUUCAUGGGUAUGGAAAGGUAAGGGGGUUACCACAUACUUGCGAAGAAGAAACGUUACAUCAAUCUUGUGCAAUUUCUUCUUGCGCUCUACAGCAAUUGAUACUUGUCAUCGAUAAAUGAAUGCCUCUAUAAAAACAAUGAUGACAAACAGCACAGUGUCUUUUCAAAUAACAUGUUGGUCCUUGUAGUCAGGGGAAACAACCAAAACUGAUUUUGGUGUUGGUCUGUUCGUAACAUAAAACGCUCUAACAUUAUGUGACGGUCAUAAUAACAUUCUGUUCUUGUUAGGAAAAAAAAAAAGAAAGAAAAAGAGAUGGCAUUUCCAUCUUGGCUGG